AUUGAACGCUGGCGGAAUGCUUUACACAUGCAAGUCGAGCGGCAGCACGGGGGCAACCCUGGUGGCGAGCGGCGAACGGGUGAGUAAUACAUCGGAACAUGCCCAGUCGUGGGGGAUAACACUUCGAAAGAAGUGCUAAUACCGCAUACGUCCUGAGGGGGAAAGCGGGGGAUCGCAAGACCUCGCGCGAUUGGAGUGGCCGAUAUCAGAUUAGCUAGUUGGUGGGGUAAAGGCCUACCAAGGCAACGAUCUGUAGCUGGUCUGAGAGGAUGAUCAGCCACACUGGGACUGAGACACGGCCCAGACUCCUACGGGAGGCAGCAGUGGGGAAUUUUGGACAAUGGGGGCAACCCCGAUCCAGCCAUUCCGCGUGAGUGAAGAAGGCCUUCGGGUUGUAAAGCUCUUUCGGCAGGAACGAAACGGUGAGCUCUAACAUAGCUUGCUAAUGACGGUACCUGAAGAAGAAGCACCGGCUAACUACGUG
This 484-nucleotide ribosomal RNA is filed under the name uncultured bacterium. RNAcentral describes it as "partial 16S ribosomal RNA". It matches the Rfam family "Bacterial small subunit ribosomal RNA", at positions 30 to 507 of the family's 1533-position model. The record is from RNAcentral.